This 66-nucleotide transfer RNA is filed under the name Enallagma cyathigerum. RNAcentral's name for it is "tRNA-Phe". It matches the Rfam family "tRNA". Rfam says of the family: Transfer RNA (tRNA) molecules are approximately 80 nucleotides in length. Their secondary structure includes four short double-helical elements and three loops (D, anti-codon, and T loops). Lineage: Eukaryota; Metazoa; Arthropoda; Insecta; Odonata; Coenagrionidae. The record is from RNAcentral.
GUUUGAAUAGCUUAAGUUUAAAGCACUACAUUGAAGCUGUAGUUAUAGUAUUUAUACUUUCAAAUA